This 215-nucleotide unclassified non-coding RNA is filed under the name Hevea brasiliensis (rubber tree). Lineage: Eukaryota; Viridiplantae; Streptophyta; Magnoliopsida; Malpighiales; Euphorbiaceae. The record is from RNAcentral.
CCUUCUUCUAUUUCUUUUUGCAAUGGUUGCCUACUAUUAUAACUCUAACUCUUCAUCUGGGUACGGUUAUUUUAACACGUUGGAUCCAUUUCCGAGUAGUUUAGAAGGUUUUAAUGGUUUGCGAGGUGGGUCGAUGGUCUCGCAGUCUUUGGUGUUGGAUAAUGAGAAAGGAGAACUCGUAAAAGCACCGGCUACGAGAGUCGGAAAGAAAGGGA